Molecule: transfer RNA, 71 nt
Filed under: Marmota monax (woodchuck)
Lineage: Eukaryota; Metazoa; Chordata; Mammalia; Rodentia; Sciuridae
Description: tRNA.Ala
Source: RNAcentral
AUGGCUGUGGCUCAGUGGUAGAGUGUUCACCUAGCAAAAGUGAGGCACUGGGUUUGAUUCUCAGCACCAUA